CGACCGUCGAACACGUGACAGAAUGCUGCCGCGGAGGCGCUUGCCGCCUCCUCGGCCCCGCCGGCCUCCUCCCUCUCGCCCUUCCGGGCGCGUUGGUUGCUGGCCGGAAYACGGCGCGGGAUGACGCCAAGGAACACGGUAAAGCUGAGGCGCCGGCGAGCCGCUCGAGGUCUCCGUCGGUUGCCAAGGCCAACAGAAAAAAAAAUAUGACUCUCGGCAACGGAUAUCUCGGCUCUCGCAUCGAUGAAGAACGUAGCGAAAUGCGAUACGUGGUGUGAAUUGCAGAAUCCCGUGAACCAUCGAGUCUUUGAACGCAAGUUGCGCCCGAGGGACCCUCCCGAGGGCACGCCUGCCUCAUGGGCGUUAGAAGCCCAUCCACGCUCGGUUGCCUAACUAACGGCAGAGAUGCGGACAUUGGCCCUCCGAACCGCGAGGCGCGGUGGGCCUAAGUGUGCGGCCGUCGUACGUGGCCGGGAGCGGCGAGUGGUGGGCUACUGCGCACGYCGCCCCGAGCCCCGUACCGACGCAGGGCCUUGUACGACCCCCUAACGAGGAGCAAGCCGCUGCGGCUCCGGCUGCGCGGCGCCUUCGGACCGAUACCCCAGGUCA
This 609-nucleotide small RNA is filed under the name Carex pamirensis subsp. pamirensis. Its description in RNAcentral is "eukaryotic LSU rRNA". The stretch from base 209 to 363 matches the Rfam family "5.8S ribosomal RNA". The record is from RNAcentral. Lineage: Eukaryota; Viridiplantae; Streptophyta; Magnoliopsida; Poales; Cyperaceae.